Pelobates cultripes (western spadefoot toad) is the source of this 1238-nucleotide non-coding RNA. The record is from the annotation of a GenBank genome assembly. Lineage: Eukaryota; Metazoa; Chordata; Amphibia; Anura; Pelobatidae.
CCCAGCCGGCCCCCUGCUUUAGAGGCCCGUGCAUACCCUCCAGCUCAUGCUGAUGGGUUUGACACGGGUGGUUUCCGAGAUAUUCAGCCCCUACCUCGACAAAGCCGCCUUGCCCGUGCUCCUAUGCAGUCCAGCCACCCUCCCACUUCUACCCGCCGGUACCAAGGACCCGACCAGGCCCAUUUAGAUUUACUGCAAUAGGUUACCGGCAAGCCUGUGUCAGCAACCCCUGCCAUGACCCCUCCUUUUUGUCAGACACCGAUGUCUCCUGUGUUGGGGUGGAUGGUACACCCCGCAGUAGCCCCCUCACUACACUCCUGCAUGUUGGUUCAUACAUACUCUCACGUUUUGUUGUUUCUUCUACUUGUCCCAUUAACCUCUUGGGUGCUGAUGUUCUUUCUCAGCUCCAGGGUCCAGUUAACUACACCCUUAUCACAGACAGACACCACUGUACUCUGCUCACUCCCCAUCUUGUUGAACCUAACUGACAAUACAGGGAGUGCACGGGUCACACCCCCCCCCAGUGCUCUGGAUCGUAUCCCCCAAGAACUUUGGUCCACCGGCCCGGAUGAUAUUGGACGCUUACGUGUACCCCCCGUCCUGGUCCAGCUCCUGCCUGGAGCACUUCCUCCUCGUAGACCUCAGUAUCCUCUGAAGCCAGCACAAGCUGAAGCCAUCACCACACAAGUUGAGUCUCUGCUUGCCAAAGGUGCCCUCACCAAGUGCACAUCUCCAUGCAACACCCCACUUUUCCCUGUUAAAAAGUGAACUGUUAAGGGCCAACCCGACCAGUACCGCAUGGUACAGGACCUCCGUGCUGUUAAAGAAGUAACCAUAAAGGACACUGCUAUUGUUCCAAACCCCCAUACUCAUCUGGAUGUUAUUCUACUUCAAUAUGUUGAUGACCUCCUUCUCUGUGCUCCUAAUUUGCUUAUUGCAGAGCGUGACUCAGAAGAUCUCCUAUGUUUCCUCGCUGCUGCAGGUUGCAAAAUUUCCAAAUCCAAGCUGCAAUGGUGCCGGCCCUCUGUGGUCUUCUUGGGACAUUGUCUUUCCCAUGGCACCAGACAUCUAACUUCUCAGCGUGUACAAGCUGUUUUGCAACUCCAAUUACCUGCACCACAUCAGACUCUUCAUGCCUUCUUGGGUCUUAUCACAUACUGCAGGUCCUGGAUACCCGAAGCAUCAAAGCUCAUGCAGCCACUCUAUGAUGCCCUCAGGAGUGAGCCCUUUCACCUCAC